Molecule: long non-coding RNA, 1089 nt
Organism: Nicotiana tabacum (common tobacco)
Lineage: Eukaryota; Viridiplantae; Streptophyta; Magnoliopsida; Solanales; Solanaceae
Source: RefSeq, a predicted model, not a curated record
UAUGCUCUAACCUCUUUCUCCGAUUUCCUUUUAGCGUACCGCCAGAACCUCGGUCUGCCAAUAUCCGCCAUCGACCUCCGUCUCAACUGCCAAUAUCCCGCUGUCAACCUCCACCAACACUAGCAGAACCUCAAUUGUCUUUUUCCUCCACCUAUAAACUUUAUCUCCUCCACCAAAACAACAACUAUUCAAUUAAUCAAAGCUCUAUGGUUUCAAAUAGUCACAAAAUUCUAGGGUUUUUUUCUCGAUUAAGCUCGACUACAACUCCUUGUUCUCACUGAGCCUUAAUUCUAGAUUCCAUUAGCGAGGACGAAAAUGCAACUGAUAGCUGUGGGAUAAAUAAUUAAUCUGAAAAAUAUUUGAAUAGUCAUGAAUCAAGAAGGGUGCUCAAGCAAAAAUAAGAAAAUAUCCAACCGCAUUCCAAUUGGAUCCCUUGCAUCUUUGCGAAAUCAAAGGGUUUCGUCGUUGACAACAUAAAGAACCUUUCAAGCUACAAGGUCCAAUGAAAAUGAAGAACGACAAUCAAAAGCUGGAUUACCUCUAUCUUUGCAAAACCAAAAGGUUUCGUCGUUGACAACAAAAAGAGUCUUGAAUAUAAGGUCAAAUGCAAAUGAAGAACGACAAUCAAAAGCUGGAUUACCUCUAUCUUUGCAAAACCAAAAGGUUUCGUCGUUGACAACAAAAAGAGUCUUGAAUAUAAGGUCAAAUGCAAAUGAAGAACGACAAUCAGAAUUAGGAUCUCAAUUACAUGAACAAGUGCAACAAGUGCCAUGGAAUUCAGCGUCUGAACCCAGAAUUGCGACUUGAUCCUGACAUGCUAAGGUUCGUAGAAGCUUCCUCUGCACACCAAGUUGUUGUUCAACUAAACAAUCGACCAUAUACUGGUAGUAACAAUCAAGGUGGAGUAGAUCAAGAAAUGGAAGAAGAUGAUGGAACUGAAGAACUAGACCUUACUUGAGAUGAAUUUUGAAUUGCUAUAGAUGAAUGUUCUAUAGAAAUCUUGUUAUCAACAUUUUUAAACUUACUCUUGAAAUGUAUUAAACUUAUGCAUUUGGGGUAGAACAUUUGCUUUAUGGAUAUUAUUUACUU